This is a transfer RNA of Coniochaeta ligniaria NRRL 30616, 97 nucleotides long. It matches the Rfam family "tRNA". From Rfam's summary of the family: Transfer RNA (tRNA) molecules are approximately 80 nucleotides in length. Their secondary structure includes four short double-helical elements and three loops (D, anti-codon, and T loops). Further hydrogen bonds mediate the characteristic L-shaped molecular structure. tRNAs have two regions of fundamental functional importance: the anti-codon, which is responsible for specific mRNA codon recognition, and the 3' end, to which the tRNAs corresponding amino acid is attached (by aminoacyl-tRNA synthetases). tRNAs cope with the degeneracy of the genetic code in two manners: having more than one tRNA (with a specific anti-codon) for a particular amino acid; and 'wobble' base-pairing, i.e. permitting non-standard base-pairing at the 3rd anti-codon position. The record is from Rfam. NCBI's taxonomy places the organism in Eukaryota, Fungi, Ascomycota, Sordariomycetes, Coniochaetales, Coniochaetaceae.
GGGUGGAUGGCCGAGUGGUUUAAGGCGCUCGAUUUAAGUAAAGACAUUAAGUACUCGAGUAUCGUAAGAUGCGUGGGUUCGAAUCCCACUCCACUCA